RNAcentral lists this ribosomal RNA (286 nucleotides) under uncultured bacterium. RNAcentral describes it as "partial 16S ribosomal RNA". It matches the Rfam family "Bacterial small subunit ribosomal RNA", at positions 72 to 353 of the family's 1533-position model. The record is from RNAcentral.
AAGAAAGCUUGCUUUCUUUGCCGGCGACCGGCGCACGGGUGAGUAACACGUAUCCAACCUGCCCUUUACUCGGGGAUAGCCUUUCGAAAGAAAGAUUAAUACCCGAUAGUAUAAUGAUUCCGCAUGGUUUCAUUAUUAAAGGAUUCCGGUAAAGGAUGGGGAUGCGUUCCAUUAGGUUGUUGGCGGGGUAACGGCCCACCAAGCCUUCGAUGGAUAGGGGUUCUGAGAGGAAGGUCCCCCACAUUGGAACUGAGACACGGUCCAAACUCCUACGGGAGGCAGCAUG